AUCUACGACUGUGCCACCCUGAACAAGCCUGACCCCAUCUGAUUUUGGAAGCUAAGCGGGGUUGGGCCUGGUUAGUAAUUGGAUGGGAGACCAUCUAGGAAGACCAGGUGCUGUAGGCA
Molecule: ribosomal RNA, 119 nt
Filed under: Pteropus alecto (black flying fox)
Lineage: Eukaryota; Metazoa; Chordata; Mammalia; Chiroptera; Pteropodidae
Source: RNAcentral